GAGGGUAUGGCUCAGGGGCAGAGUGCAUGCUUGGCACGCUAGUUCCUGGGUUCAAUCUCCAGUACCUCCA
RNAcentral lists this transfer RNA (70 nucleotides) under Camelus bactrianus (Bactrian camel). It matches the Rfam family "tRNA". From Rfam's summary of the family: Transfer RNA (tRNA) molecules are approximately 80 nucleotides in length. The record is from Rfam by way of RNAcentral. Lineage: Eukaryota; Metazoa; Chordata; Mammalia; Artiodactyla; Camelidae. RNAcentral also lists the same sequence under 2 other names.